UCAAGAUGGUAAGGGCCCACGGUGGAUGCCUCGGCACCCGAGCCGAUGAAGGACGUGGCUACCUGCGAUAAGCCAGGGGGAGCCGGUAGCGGGCGUUGAUCCCUGGAUGUCCGAAUGGGGGAACCCGGCCGGCGCGAACGCCGGUCACCGCGCUUUUUGCGCGGGGGGAACCUGGGGAACUGAAACAUCUCAGUACCCAGAGGAGAGGAAAGAGAAAUCGACUCCCUGAGUAGCGGCGAGCGAAAGGGGACCAGCCUAAACCGUCCGGCUUGUCCGGGCGGGGUCGUGGGGCCCUCGGACACCGAAUCCCCAGCCUAGCCGAAGCUGUUGGGAAGCAGCGCCAGAGAGGGUGAAAGCCCCGUAGGCGAAAGGUGGGGGGAUAGGUGAGGGUACCCGAGUACCCCGUGGUUCGUGGAGCCAUGGGGGAAUCUGGGCGGACCACCGCCUAAGGCUAAGUACUCCGGGUGACCGAUAGCGCACCAGUACCGUGAGGGAAAGGUGAAAAGAACCCCGGGAGGGGAGUGAAAUAGAGCCUGAAACCGUGGGCUUACAAGCAGUCACGGCCCCGCAAGGGGUUGUGGCGUGCCUAUUGAAGCAUGAGCCGGCGACUCACGGUCGUGGGCGAGCUUAAGCCGUUGAGGCGGAGGCGUAGGGAAACCGAGUCCGAACAGGGCGUCUAGUCCGCGGCCGUGGACCCGAAACCGGGCGAGCUAGCCCUGGCCAGGGUGAAGCUGGGGUGAGACCCAGUGGAGGCCCGAACCGGUGGGGGAUGCAAACCCCUCGGAUGAGCUGGGGCUAGGAGUGAAAAGCUAACCGAGCCCGGAGAUAGCUGGUUCUCCCCGAAAUGACUUUAGGGUCAGCCUCAGGCGCUGACUGGGGCCUGUAGAGCACUGAUAGGGCUAGGGGGCCCACCAGCCUACCAAACCCUGUCAAACUCCGAAGGGUCCCAGGUGGAGCCUGGGAGUGAGGGCGCGAGCGAUAACGUCCGCGUCCGAGCGCGGGAACAACCGAGACCGCCAGCUAAGGCCCCCAAGUCUGGGCUAAGUGGUAAAGGAUGUGGCGCCGCGAAGACAGCCAGGAGGUUGGCUUAGAAGCAGCCAUCCUUUAAAGAGUGCGUAAUAGCUCACUGGUCGAGUGGCGCCGCGCCGAAAAUGAUCGGGGCUUAAGCCCAGCGCCGAAGCUGCGGGUCUGGGGGAUGACCCCAGGCGGUAGGGGAGCGUUCCCGAUGCCGAUGAAGGCCGACCCGCGAGGGCGGCUGGAGGUAAGGGAAGUGCGAAUGCCGGCAUGAGUAACGAUAAAGAGGGUGAGAAUCCCUCUCGCCGUAAGCCCAAGGGUUCCUACGCAAUGGUCGUCAGCGUAGGGUUAGGCGGGACCUAAGGUGAAGCCGAAAGGCGUAGCCGAAGGGCAGCCGGUUAAUAUUCCGGCCCUUCCCGCAGGUGCGAUGGGGGGACGCUCUAGGCUAGGGGGACCGGAGCCAUGGACGAGCCCGGCCAGAAGCGCAGGGUGGGAGGUAGGCAAAUCCGCCUCCCAAAAGCUCUGCGUGGUGGGGAAGCCCGUACGGGUGACAACCCCCCGAAGCCAGGGAGCCAAGAAAAGCCUCUAAGCACAACCUGCGGGAACCCGUACCGCAAACCGACACAGGUGGGCGGGUGCGAGAGCACUCAGGCGCGCGGGAGAACCCUCGCCAAGGAACUCUGCAAGUUGGCCCCGUAACUUCGGGAGAAGGGGUGCUCCCUGGGGUGAUGAGCUCCGGGGAGCCGCAGUGAACAGGCUCUGGCGACUGUUUACCAAAAACACAGCUCUCUGCGAACUCGUAAGAGGAGGUAUAGGGAGCGACGCUUGCCCGGUGCCGGAAGGUCAAGGGGAGGGGUGCAAGCCCCGAACCGAAGCCCCGGUGAACGGCGGCCGUAACUAUAACGGUCCUAAGGUAGCGAAAUUCCUUGUCGGGUAA
Molecule: ribosomal RNA, 1951 nt
Filed under: compost metagenome
Description: bacterial LSU rRNA
Rfam family: Bacterial large subunit ribosomal RNA
Source: RNAcentral